Long non-coding RNA from Helianthus annuus (common sunflower), 219 nucleotides. RefSeq lists it as uncharacterized. The record is from RefSeq and is a predicted model, not a curated record. NCBI's taxonomy places the organism in Eukaryota, Viridiplantae, Streptophyta, Magnoliopsida, Asterales, Asteraceae. The transcript is spliced from 4 exons.
AUUGGGAAACCAAUCAUCCACCGACGCCGUCACAAUGAGCAACGAAUACGAUUAUCUCUUCAAACUUUUACUCAUCGGAGACUCCUCCGUCGGAAAAUCAUGCCUUCUUCUCCGAUUUGCUGAUGAUUCUUAUGUGGAUAGUUACAUAAGCACAAUUGGAGUUGACUUUAAAAUUAGGACUGUUGAGCAGGAUAGGAAGACCAUCAAGCUGAAGAUAGU